This 222-nucleotide ribosomal RNA is filed under the name Klebsiella michiganensis. RNAcentral's name for it is "partial 23S ribosomal RNA". It matches the Rfam family "Bacterial large subunit ribosomal RNA", at positions 2709 to 2925 of the family's 2925-position model. The record is from RNAcentral. RNAcentral also lists the same sequence under 1 other name. Lineage: Bacteria; Pseudomonadati; Pseudomonadota; Gammaproteobacteria; Enterobacterales; Enterobacteriaceae.
CUGGUGUUCGGGUUGUCAUGCCAAUGGCAUUGCCCGGUAGCUAAAUGCGGAAGAGAUAAGUGCUGAAAGCAUCUAAGCACGAAACUUGCCCCGAGAUGAGUUCUCCCUGACCCUUUAAGGGUCCUGAAGGAACGUUGAAGACGACGACGUUGAUAGGCCGGGUGUGUAAGCGCAGCGAUGCGUUGAGCUAACCGGUACUAAUGAACCGUGAGGCUUAACCUU